This 362-nucleotide transfer-messenger RNA is filed under the name Companilactobacillus paralimentarius. It matches the Rfam family "transfer-messenger RNA". Rfam says of the family: Bacterial tmRNA, also known as 10Sa RNA or SsrA, is named for its dual tRNA and mRNA-like properties. The record is from RNAcentral. Lineage: Bacteria; Bacillati; Bacillota; Bacilli; Lactobacillales; Lactobacillaceae.
GGGGGUGUUCUGGAUUCGACAUGUGUAGUAGCGUGUGAGUUGCACUUAGGGCCUUGCGUCCCUUUAAAACGCACAGUUUAUUAUAACUGCAAAAAAUAAUAAUAACUACGCAUUAGCUGCCUAAAAACAGUCUAAGCGUGAUCCAUUCUAGUUUCGCCCAAGGGCUGGAAAUGGGUCUCAAAAAUAUUGGGCUACGUUUAACUACGCAUUCUGAAUAGUUAAAAAGAGAUUGUCGGAAUAGUCAUUGUGGCUAGCCGGGUUGUAUGGCGUUCAUAGUGGCGAAACUUUAAAUAAUACAACUAUGAGUGUAGAGGCUUGCAUAGCAUUACGCUUGGACAGGGGUUCAAUUCCCCUCACCUCCA